RNAcentral lists this ribosomal RNA (268 nucleotides) under uncultured Ascomycota. RNAcentral describes it as "partial 18S ribosomal RNA". It matches the Rfam family "Eukaryotic small subunit ribosomal RNA", at positions 548 to 822 of the family's 1831-position model. The record is from RNAcentral. Lineage: Eukaryota; Fungi; Ascomycota.
UUGGAGGGCAAGUCUGGUGCCAGCAGCCGCGGUAAUUCCAGCUCCAAUAGCGUAUAUUAAAGUUGUUGAGGUUAAAAAGCUCGUAGUUGAACCUUGGGCCUAGCCGGCCGGUCCGCCUCACCGCGUGCACUGGCUCGGCUGGGUCUUUCCUUCUGGAGAACCGCAUGCCCUUCACUGGGUGUGCUGGGGAACCAGGACUUUUACNCUGAAUAAAUUAGAUCGCUUAAAGAAGGCCUAUGCUCGAAUACAUUAGCAUGGAAUAAUAGAA